UACUUCUUCGGACAAUAAUACAAGGUGCUGCAUGGUUGUCGUCAGCUCGUGCCGUGAGGUGUCGGGUUAAGUCCCAUAACGAGCGCAACCCCUACUCAUUAGUUGCCAUCAGGUCAAGCUGGGGACUCUAAUGAAACUGCCUACGCAAGUAGUGAGGAAGUGGGGAUGACGUCAAAUCAGCACGGCCCUUACGUCCAGGGCUACACACGUGCUACAAUGGCCGGUACCAAAGGGCAGCUACCUGGUGACAGGAUGCUAAUCUCAAAAGCCGGUCUCAGUUCGGAUCGGAGUCUGCAACCCGACUCCGUGAGGCUGGAAUCGCUAGUAAUCGCGCAUCAGCCAUGGCGCGGUGAAUACGUUCCCGGGCCUU
RNAcentral lists this ribosomal RNA (370 nucleotides) under uncultured Sphingobacteriales bacterium. Its description in RNAcentral is "bacterial SSU rRNA". It matches the Rfam family "Bacterial small subunit ribosomal RNA", at positions 1013 to 1382 of the family's 1533-position model. The record is from RNAcentral. Lineage: Bacteria; Pseudomonadati; Bacteroidota; Sphingobacteriia; Sphingobacteriales.